AGUGAACGCUGGCGGUAGGCCUAACACAUGCAAGUCGAACGGCAGCACAGUAAGAGCUUGCUCUUACGGGUGGCGAGUGGCGGACGGGUGAGGAAUACAUCGGAAUCUACUUUUUCGUGGGGGAUAACGUAGGGAAACUUACGCUAAUACCGCAUACUACCUACGGGUGAAAGCAGGGGAUCUUCGGACCUUUCGCGAUUGAAUGAGCCGAUGUCGGAUUAGCUAGUUGGCGGGGUAAAGCCCCACCAAGGCGACGAUCCGUAGCUGGACUGAGGGGAUGAUCAGCCACACUGGAACUGAGACACGGUCCAGACUCCUACGGGAGGCAGCAGUGGGGAAUAUUGGACAAUGGGCGCAAGCCUGAUCCAGCCAUACCGCGUGGGUGAAGAAGGCCUUCGGGUUGUAAAGCCCUUUUGUUGGGAAAGAAAAGCAGCAGGUUAAUACCCCGCUGUUCUGACGGUACCCAAAGAAUAAGCACCGGCUAACUUCGUG
Molecule: ribosomal RNA, 492 nt
Filed under: uncultured bacterium
Lineage: Bacteria
Description: partial 16S ribosomal RNA
Rfam family: Bacterial small subunit ribosomal RNA
Source: RNAcentral